UACAGAGGGUGCAAGCGUUAAUCGGAAUUACUGGGCGUAAAGCGCUCGUAGGCGGGUGCCUAAGUCGAUUGUGAAAGCCCUGGGCUUAACCUGGGAACUGCAGUCGAUACUGGGUAUCUAGAGUAUGGUAGAGGAUAGUGGAAUUCCCGGUGUAGCAGUGAAAUGCGUAGAUAUCGGGAGGAACACCAGUGGCGAAGGCGACUUUCUGGACCAAUACUGACGCUGAGGAGCGAAAGCGUGGGGAGCAAACAGG
This 253-nucleotide ribosomal RNA is filed under the name uncultured bacterium. RNAcentral's name for it is "partial 16S ribosomal RNA". It matches the Rfam family "Bacterial small subunit ribosomal RNA", at positions 524 to 776 of the family's 1533-position model. RNAcentral also lists the same sequence under 1 other name. The record is from RNAcentral.